This 355-nucleotide ribosomal RNA is filed under the name uncultured bacterium. RNAcentral describes it as "partial 16S ribosomal RNA". It matches the Rfam family "Bacterial small subunit ribosomal RNA", at positions 355 to 727 of the family's 1533-position model. The record is from RNAcentral.
UGGGGGAUAUUGCACAAUGGAGGAAACUCUGAUGCAGCAACGCCGCGUGAAGGAUGAAGGUCUUCGGAUUGUAAACUUUUGUACUUGGGGACGAUAAUGACGGUACCCAAGCAGCAAGCUCCGGCUAACUACGUGCCAGCAGCCGCGGUAAUACGUAGGGAGCAAGCGUUGUCCGGAUUUACUGGGUGUAAAGGGUGCGUAGGCGGCCAUACAAGUCAGUUGUGAAAACUAUGGGCUCAACCCAUAGCCUGCAAUUGAAACUGCGUGGCUUGAGUGAAGUAGAGGUAGGUGGAAUUCCCGGUGUAGCGGUGAAAUGCGUAGAGAUCGGGAGGAACACCAGUGGCGAAGGCGACCU